Long non-coding RNA from Thalassophryne amazonica, 339 nucleotides. RefSeq lists it as uncharacterized. NCBI's taxonomy places the organism in Eukaryota, Metazoa, Chordata, Actinopteri, Batrachoidiformes, Batrachoididae. The record is from RefSeq and is a predicted model, not a curated record. The transcript has 4 exons.
ACCUCUCGAUGUUCUUAAACAUCUCUUCAUGGAAGAGAACAGUCUGGAGACGGAAGUGGAAGAGAACAGUCUGGAGAAGGAUGUUGAAGAGGACAGUCUUGAGAUGGAAGUGGCGGAAGAACUUCUUGUCUGGGCCGAGGAAAAUCUGGACCUGACUGAGGACCUCACCCCCAUCGUACAGGAGGAAGCAGAAGAACCAGCAGCCAUCCAGCCCGAGGUGCAAGCAGAGACCAGGACCACCUGGACGAGACACCUGACUCAGGCUUUCUGGAGGAUGUUCUGCCUCUGCUGACACCAGUGUCUGUGUACCUCGCCUGUGUGUCAAGAUAAAUAAAUAUG